This 2269-nucleotide long non-coding RNA is filed under the name Lathyrus oleraceus (garden pea). Its description in RNAcentral is "Pisum sativum (pea) long non-coding RNA (PSAT_LNC019146)". The record is from RNAcentral. Lineage: Eukaryota; Viridiplantae; Streptophyta; Magnoliopsida; Fabales; Fabaceae.
GAAUGCACAUUGAUAUUGCAACGGAUAAAAGCACAGGUAUUAUGUCAAGAAGCUUAGCUGAAAUUCAAAACUUCCCCUCUCUCUCACUUGUCACCUCCGUCUCCUCCACGCUUGAGGUUCCCUCGGCGGUGGAGAUUUCUAUAAAUUAAAACCAAAGCCAUCACCAUCUUCCUCUUCUCGAGCUAACCAUGGAAAUGCCAUUAAUUUUUAUUGAAACCUAACCCAAUGCUCUAAUCGAACCAAUAUGUGGAAGAAUCCUAGGUUUUGAAUCCUAAAUUAAAUGAAGGUACGGAUGAAUUGGAGCCCAAAAGGUUGGGGCUCUGGUUCCCUAGCCUCUAACCUACAUACCAGUAACAAAAUUGAAGAGAAAUGAAGGAAAGGAUUGAGCAGCUUACCAAAGAAGUCGAAGUUGGAGACGACGACGGCGAGGGGAUUCAGGUAUGUUCAGAUUCGUUGAUUCUUCCUUCUGUUCUUCUUCUUUCUUCUUCUUCCCCUACAUGUUGAUGCGCGUCUUGAUGUGUGUGAGAUGAGAGUGGCUUAGCUCUUGUUGUUUCAGAGCUUCGAUGUGAGACUCUGAGCAACAAUGGAGGAGAACGAGCUUUACAAUGAGGUUGAGAGAGAGAAGUGAGAGAGAAGAGAGGGUGACUCAGUAGAAAUUUUGGGAGUGAUGAAUGAAUGAAACUCUAACUGAACUGUGAUGCUAGCUUUUAUAGACUCCAAUUCGGUUACAAAUUCACAUGAAAUUGAGUUAAAUGCAAAUUAAAAUUGAGAAGUUAGUUAUGGAAUGCAUUAGUUAGUUAGAACUCCAAAUGAAAUUCAAAUUGAAAUGAAAUUGAGAUGUAAAUUCAAAACUCUCCUUUCUCCUGCUUCCCAAAUUAGUUCUAUUAAGGAAACUGGAAAUUAAGGGCUCGUUUGAUUGAGUUUUGAUUUUCUAUUUUUAAAAAUGAUUUUAUAAAUCAGUUUUAAAAAAUUGUUUUUAAAAAAACUAAUGGAAUAAAAUCUGUUUGGUAGCUCUGUCUUUUAAUUGUUUUAAAUUUAAAAGUUAAAACUUGUUUGGAGAAAUUGUUUUUGGUUUCUAAAAUCUAAAAAUUGAAAAAUUUAUAGUUUUUAAAACUAUUUUAUAAAUCAAUUUUAGAAGAGUUUUGAAGAAAAACAAUAAAAUAAAACAGUGUGGUAAUUCUCUUUAAAUCAUUUUAAAAAGUGUACCACUUUUCUUGUUUUUUCCUCAUCAUAUUUCCAAAACUAAAAACCAAAAACCAAAACCUCUAAAACCUUUUUAGUUUUUUAGUUUUUAAUCUUCAAUAAGAGAAUAGUUUUCAAAAACAAUUUUAUAAAAUUAGACUACCAAACAAAUUUUCUUAUUUUCAAAUUUUAAAAACUAAAAAACAGUUUUACAAAAUCAAAUCAAACAGGCCCUAACUAUUCCAAUUAGAGUUUUGCACCAUUUAUUGAAUUUUGUUAAAUAAGGUGUUAUGUGAUUGUUUACUUAAUUGUUGUGUUAGAAAUUAUAAUUAAUUGUAAUCCUGAAUGUUUUUCCAUGGUAUUAUCAUUUGGUGUAGGUUAAAACUAAUAAAAUGUUGAAGUCCUUAGCUCAAUUAGGUUAGUGUUAGUUGUAUAAUGGAUUUUGAGUCGAUUUGAAACUGCAUUUGAAGUUGAUUUGAGAGUGAAUUUGAGGUUAGUCUUUGAUUGGAAUUAGAUUCAAUUUGGAAAAUGGACUGGUUUGUCCCUUUGGCUUGAAUUUGCAGUUAAAUGUUUUUUUGAAUUUACUGAACUUGAGUCAAACUGUCUUGCACUGCAGAAUAGUUCAAUGUAUUUAAACCAGUUUCUGCCCUGAAUUUGCAAUGCUAGGUCAAUGUUGAUGGGUUGAUUUUGGUAUGUGAUGAACCCUUGCCAUGUUUAUACUGUCAAUGCUGAUUUUCUGCUUAAUGUUAUGUAGGGCAGGUUGGAAUUUGGCUUCAUUUGAGAAUGGAUGCAUCAUUGGAUCAUAAAGGAUGACCAAAGUUCUUUCAUUUUGAAACUCAAUCUAAACACCAAGUCAUGUAAAUAGUAGGAUUCCAUGUGUUAGUAUAAUGUACGAUGCAAUGUUAUGUGUAAUAGUCAUAUAGUCAAUGCUCAUGUAUUAGUGUAAUGUUCAAUCAUUUAAUGAACUAAAGAUGUAUUUGAUUUUUGAAAAUGGUGAAUGCAAGGUUUUAUUCAAAUGCAAAUGUUCCAAAAUGUAUGAAAUACUUAUGUGAGAUACGUAUGAAAGGGAUACCAUGAUUUAUGCUUA